CCUANGGGCGGCUGCAGUCGAGAAUCUUCGGCAAUGGGCGCAAGCCUGACCGAGCGACGCCGCGUGUGGGAUGAAGGCCCUUGGGUUGUAAACCACUGUCAGAGGGGAUGAAAUGCACGAGAGCUAUCUCUUGUGUUUGACAUAGCCUCAGAGGAAGCACGGGCUAAGUACGUGCCAGCAGCCGCGGUAAUACGAACUGUGCAAACGUUAUUCGGAAUCACUGGGCUUACAGGGUGCGUAGGCGGCUUGUUAAGUAGGGUGUGAAAGCCCCCGGCUCAACCGGGGAAUGGCGCCCUAAACUGGCGAGCUGGAGUGAGAUAGGGGUGUGCGGAACUUCCGGUGGAGCGGUGAAAUGUGUUGAUAUCGGAAGGAACGCCGGUGGCGAAAGCGGCACACUGGAUCUCAACUGACGCUGAUGCACGAAAGCGUGGGGAGCAAACAGGAUUAGAUACCCCGNUANUC
This 462-nucleotide ribosomal RNA is filed under the name uncultured bacterium. Its description in RNAcentral is "bacterial SSU rRNA". It matches the Rfam family "Bacterial small subunit ribosomal RNA", at positions 338 to 795 of the family's 1533-position model. The record is from RNAcentral.